Molecule: ribosomal RNA, 331 nt
Filed under: Potamonautes calcaratus
Lineage: Eukaryota; Metazoa; Arthropoda; Malacostraca; Decapoda; Potamonautidae
Description: partial 12S ribosomal RNA
Source: RNAcentral
AUUUUCUUUAAAUUUAAAGAAUUUGGCAGUAAUUUAGUCUAGUCAGAGGAACCUGCUUUUAAUUAGUCGAUAUAACGCGUAGAAUCUUACUUAUUUUUAUUUAGUUUGGAUACCAUCAUUAUCAGAUAAUUUUUAUAGAGUAGAAUUAUUGAAUUUAAUUGUUAUUACCAAAAUUAGAUCAAGGGGCAGCUUAUAAAUAAGGAAGAGGGGGUUACAAUAAAAUAUAUUUAGACGAAAUAAGAGAGUAAGUUUUCUUAUGAAGGAGGAUUUGAUUGGAAUAUAAGUUUAAUAUGCUUAGGAGAUAAAAGCUCUAAAUUGUGUACACAUCGCC